This 1172-nucleotide long non-coding RNA is filed under the name Cyanistes caeruleus (blue tit). RNAcentral describes it as "lncRNA (ENSCCEG00000017038.1)". The record is from RNAcentral. Lineage: Eukaryota; Metazoa; Chordata; Aves; Passeriformes; Paridae.
AUGCCACUUCGAUGCAUUUGUCAAAUCCCUCCAGGCAUGGUGACUCAACCACUUCCCCAGGUAGCCUGUAAAGUGCCUGACAACCCUUUGGGUGAAGAGAAGAUUCCUAAAUUCCUCUUGGCCACCUGGCCACCCCUGGGCUCGUGUCCAGCUGCUGUCACCAGCACCCCCAGGGCCUUUCCCAGCUUGCCAGCCCCUCUGCCCCAGCCUGGAGCUGCAGGGUGUUGUUGUGAGCCAAGGGCAGGACCAGGCCCUGCUUGUGCCUCACCCCAAUGGCCUCAGCCCUGUCCAGACCCCUCUGCAGAGCCCUCCUGCAUGAUCCUCACUCAGUAUCACUUUCAAACUCACGUUUUACAAGAAGUGGAUGUUUGGAGACCACUCAUAUAUCAUCUAGAGAUGCGAAGUGCUGUGUUUUACACCAUUUUUGAAAGGAAAACACAGAAAGUAUGGAAGAUUUCCUGCAGGGAAACACAAGUCUUGGCAAUAUUUCACUUUUGUGAUGAAUACCUGAAAGACCAUUGUUAUCCAUUUUAGAGGGCUACGCUUGAAGAGGGACUUUCAAAACCAGAAAGAAAAAAAAAUGCAACAAAACAUUACCUGUUGUGCCUUUUGUGUUUUAGCUCUCUGUGUUUUGCUGAGGAAAAGCAACCCGCAAGAUUUAGUCUUGUAUCCAGAAUCACACCACAUCUUGUUUACUGCUUUGGCUUCUGCUCUCUGUCAAAACCCUGCCACACUGCUGCAGCAAAUUUGACCUGCAUUUAGUCACUCGAGGAAGUAAUUCCAGUUCACACACAGCAAAGCAAUCCUGGAUCUGCUUUAAAUUACUUUAGCAAUUGGGUUUACCUCUGUUUUUGCCUGAAAAAGACUCAAGAAGAGGGCUUUGGACCAGCUUCUUGCAUCCUGCAGUAUGGUUUCACCAUGCAUGGAAGUGAUCCUAUGUACAGAAGUCUCAUUUAAAGUACAUGACAGUUCUUUUUAUAGUCCAGGUACUUAAAAGUAACUUCUUUAAAUAGAAAUAUCCACUAAAAAAAGCCAAAUCAACCUUGCAGUUAUAAGGAGAGGGGUCCUUAUUUUUCACACCAUGUCUCUUUGUUGAUCUUGUUUUUGAAGUUGCUUGUGAGUGACUGAUACUAAAUCCACGCAGAAUAAAUCUGAUAAAUCUGAUUAAUUCA